AUUGAACGCUGGCGGCAGGCCUAACACAUGCAAGUCGAACGGUAACAGGAAGCAGCUUGCUGCUUCGCUGACGAGUGGCGGACGGGUGAGUAAUGUCUGGGAAGCUGCCUGAUGGAGGGGGAUAACUACUGGAAACGGUAGCGAAUACCGCAUAAUGUCGCAAGACCAAAGAGGGGGACCUUCGGGGCUCUUGCCAUCGGAUGUGCCCAGAUGGGAUUAGCUUGUUGGUGGGGUAACGGCUCACCAAGGCGACGAUCCCUAGCUGGUCUGAGAGGAUGACCAGCCACACUGGAACUGAGACACGGUCCAGACUCCUACGGGAGGCAGCAGUGGGGAAUAUUGGACAAUGGGCGCAAGCCUGAUGCAGCCAUGCCGCGUGUAUGAAGAAGGCCUUCGGGUUGUAAAGUACUUUCAGCGGGGAGGAAGGGAGUAAAGUUAAUACCUUCGCUCAUUGACGUUACCCGCAGAAGAAGCACCGGCUAACUCCGUG
This 490-nucleotide ribosomal RNA is filed under the name uncultured bacterium. RNAcentral's name for it is "partial 16S ribosomal RNA". It matches the Rfam family "Bacterial small subunit ribosomal RNA", at positions 30 to 507 of the family's 1533-position model. The record is from RNAcentral.